GAUGAAGAACGCAGCGAAAUGCGAUACGUAAUGUGAAUUGCAAAUUCAGUGAAUCAUCGAGUCUUUGAACGCACAUUGCGCCCCCUGGUAUUCCGGGGGGCAUGCCUGUCCGAGCGUCAUUGCUGCCCUCAAGCACGGCUUGUGUGUUGGGCCCCGUCCUCCGAUCCCGGGGGACGGGCCCGAAAGGUAGCGGCGGCACCGCGUCCGGUCCUCGAGCGUAUGGGGCUUUGUCACCCGCUCUGUAGGCCCGGCCGGCGCUUGCCGAUCAACCCAAAUUUUUUAUCCAGGUUGACCUCGGAUCAGGUAGGGAUACCCGCUGAACUUAAGCAUAUCAAUAAGCGGAGGA
RNAcentral lists this unclassified non-coding RNA (346 nucleotides) under soil metagenome. RNAcentral's name for it is "partial contains 5.8S ribosomal RNA, internal transcribed spacer 2, and large subunit ribosomal RNA". The stretch from base 1 to 119 matches the Rfam family "5.8S ribosomal RNA", at positions 35 to 154 of the family's 154-position model. The record is from RNAcentral.